RNAcentral lists this ribosomal RNA (592 nucleotides) under uncultured bacterium. RNAcentral describes it as "bacterial SSU rRNA". It matches the Rfam family "Bacterial small subunit ribosomal RNA", at positions 338 to 916 of the family's 1533-position model. The record is from RNAcentral.
CCUACGGGAGGCAGCAGUGGGGAAUUUUGGACAAUGGGCGCAAGCCUGAUCCAGCAAUGCCGCGUGCAGGAUGAAGGCCUUCGGGUUGUAAACUGCUUUUUGUACGGAACGAAACGGGCUCUUUCUAAUAAAGAGAGCUAAUGACGGUACCGUAAGAAUAAGCACCGGCUAACUACGUGCCAGCAGCCGCGGUAAUACGUAGGGUGCGAGCGUUAAUCGGAAUUACUGGGCGUAAAGCGUGCGCAGGCGGUUUAUAUAAGACAGAUGUGAAAUCCCCGGGCUCAACCUGGGACCUGCAUUUGUGACUGUAUAGCUAGAGUACGGUAGAGGGGGGAUGGAAUUCCGCGUGUAGCAGUGAAAUGCGUAGAUAUGCGGAGGAACACCGAUGGCGAAGGCAAUCCCCUGGACCUGUACUGACGCUCAUGCACGAAAGCGUGGGGAGCGAAACAGGAUUAGAUACCCUGGUAGUCCACGCCCUAAACGAUAGUCAACUGGUUGUUGGGUCUUCACUGACUCAGUAACGAAGCUAACGCGUGAAGUUGACCGCCUGGGGAGUACGGCCGCAAGGUUGAAACUCAAAGGAAAUUGACGG